RNAcentral lists this ribosomal RNA (460 nucleotides) under uncultured bacterium. RNAcentral's name for it is "partial 16S ribosomal RNA". It matches the Rfam family "Bacterial small subunit ribosomal RNA", at positions 338 to 795 of the family's 1533-position model. The record is from RNAcentral.
CCUACGGGUGGCAGCAGUGAGGAAUAUUGGUCAAUGGGCGCGAGCCUGAACCAGCCAAGUCGCGUGAGGGAGGACGGCCCUACGGGUUGUAAACCUCUUUUGCCGGGGAGCAACGGGCGUCACGUGUGGCGCCACUGAGAGUACCCGGAGAAAAAGCAGGGGCUAACUCCGUGCCAGCAGCCGCGUUAAUACGGAGGAUGGGAGCGUUAUCCGGUUUUAUUGGGUUUAAAGGGUGCGUAGGCGGAUCGUUAAGUCAGUGGUCAAAUUGAGGGGCUCAACCCCUCCCCGCCGUUGAAACUGGCGCUCUUGAGUGGGAGAGAAGUAGGCGGAAUGUGUGGUGUAGCGGUGAAAUGCAUAGAUAUCACGCAGAACCCCGAUUGCGAAGGCAGCAUGCCGGCUUCCGACUGACGCUGAUGCACGAAAGCGUGGGGAUCGAACAGGAUUAGAUACCCGGGUAGUC